Molecule: long non-coding RNA, 241 nt
Filed under: Mytilus galloprovincialis (Mediterranean mussel)
Lineage: Eukaryota; Metazoa; Mollusca; Bivalvia; Mytilida; Mytilidae
Source: RNAcentral
GGCGACAUAAUUUUUUUCUUUUGAUUAAUAUUCUUGUACCGGCUUGGUAAUUGAGUACUUUUUGUACCUCAAGAUUGAAUGUUAGACAUUGAAGUGAAGGAUUUAAAGUUUCAAAUGGCUAAAUGUGUUGUUCUCAUCAAUAUAGGGUGCCAACAUUGACCUUUUUCUUGCUGAUUCCAUACUGGCAUCCUAUUUUAUUCUUUUUGGACCAUAGUUUUGAGUCGACGGAGACUAAAAACUU